UUGUAGUGAUCAAAGUGGCGUAAUUUGCAAGAUGGCCAUGAUCCCCACACCUUUCACAGCUCCCAAUUUCACUAGAAAUUCAGUUCAGGCUGUGAAUUUAACAGUGGUAUAUAUGCCGUGAUCGUCUCAGCUGGGAGGCCUUAUCUUCUAUGUACCACUUUCAUGACUGGCUUGGUGCUGCAAAUUUAUGGUGACACUAGACCCCUGUAAGAAGACAUGGGAAAGAGCAAGACAAGUAAGCACCUGGACUCCAGAGUAUGUUGAUGUGG
Molecule: ribosomal RNA, 269 nt
Filed under: Triticum aestivum (bread wheat)
Lineage: Eukaryota; Viridiplantae; Streptophyta; Magnoliopsida; Poales; Poaceae
Description: partial small subunit ribosomal RNA
Source: RNAcentral